CAAACGAUCCUCUUCAUCUCUUCAACCAUCGUCCGUCACCUCACCACCACCACGCCCAUAUCCCACAAAACCCGCUACCUACACCCCUCUUGUCCUUCCUCACACUCCAUCUCUGAAGCUUGCAGGCUCCAUGUGCAAUUUCAGCAGAUUUCAUGGGUAAGUCCCGUCACCCCUUUCACCAUCUCAUCUGUUGAAAACGUCCAUCUUUCCCCCCUCUUUAAUUCGAAAUUUAAAGGCAAAAGCCUCUGGAGGAAGUUGUUAAAACCCCCUCAGUGUUUACCUAUAAAUACAGGCCUUCCUGGGCUGUUUUAGACAAGUUUCAAGUGUAGAAAAUCCCAUUUAAGUUAACAAAGUUUUAGAGGCUGAAAAUUCCCCUUUGAACAAGGCUUUUAUUGAGAGAAUAUCUCUUUCAAAGCUUUCAUACUCAGAAAAAUCUUCUUUCAACUCUAAGUUUUUUUUUUUUUUUUUUGGUUAUCGAAAUCUUCUUUCAAGUUCUCGGCUGAGCAAGGACUGUUGGAGCGGAUUCGGAGACUCGACGACGACAAUAGCUUCAGUUCACUGUCACAAAGAAGGAACCUUGGGAGCAUUUGGAGUUAUGGCAACUCCGGAUUCUGCCCAUAUCAGAGAACAGCCAGUUGCAAGAUUUAAUUGCUCGUGUCUAGCAUCCCCGUCUUCCUCCUCUCUUUAAAUUUCGUGCCUUUCGCGUUAUCACGUAUAUACAUGUUUAUAUUCUUGACUAGCAUUUUUAUGGAUUGUAUUUGUAGCACAUUUGUUUCUCGCUUGUGUAGGAACUUAUGGAAAAAUAGUUAAGUAUGAUGGUAAAUCUUGGCUUAGGCGUGUUAGAAAUGAUAAUCGCUCAUGUUUUUUGUC
Long non-coding RNA from Lycium barbarum (goji berry), 870 nucleotides. RefSeq lists it as uncharacterized. NCBI's taxonomy places the organism in Eukaryota, Viridiplantae, Streptophyta, Magnoliopsida, Solanales, Solanaceae. The transcript is spliced from 2 exons. The record is from RefSeq and is a predicted model, not a curated record.